This 253-nucleotide ribosomal RNA is filed under the name uncultured bacterium. Its description in RNAcentral is "partial 16S ribosomal RNA". It matches the Rfam family "Bacterial small subunit ribosomal RNA", at positions 524 to 776 of the family's 1533-position model. The record is from RNAcentral.
UACAGAGGGUGCAAGCGUUAAUCGGAUUUACUGGGCGUAAAGGGCGCGUAGGUGGUUACGUAAGUGAGAUGUGAGAUCCCCGGGCUUAACCUGGGAAUUGCGUCUUAAACUGCGUAGCUGGAGUGCAAUAGAGGGUAGUGGAAUUUCCGGUGUAGCGGUGAAACGCGUGGAUAUCGGAAGGAACACCAGUGGCGAAGGCGGCUACCUGGAUUGACACUGACACUGAGGCGCGAAAGCGUGGGGAGCAAACAGG